ACCAUGGUCCGCACGAUGACCGAAGGCAUCGUGAAUAGGUUUUUGAGGUCCGCGAAGGCCGAGAUGCUUCAAAAGAACGAGACGGAGAUAAGAUGUCCGUGUCGAAGAUGCAAGCUGAAGAGCCUUAUUGCGGACCCGGAUUCCGGGCAGGUGUGGGACCACCUGCUGUUGCGUGGUUUCAUGGAUGGCUAUCGGUGGCAAGGUGAUGAAGAUGACUACGAAGUCGUCCAUGCGGGCCGGGCAAGAAAUGAGGAAGGGCAGCAAGACAACCACCGCGGCUCGGGCGGGCGAGAAGACGAAGAAUCCCCAAGAGAUGAUCACGACUGUGAUGCUGUACACAGUCAUCAUGUAGAAGAUGCAGGACAUGAUGAUGAGGAAGAUGCCGGAGCAGGCGACGGGCAUGAUCAUGAAGAUGAUGAUGCCGGCGGAGCAGACGACGCUGGACCAUCGAUGAGCUGGGUGCAGGACCCUCAUAUUCAAGAGCUGCUUCUCAAGCAGACGGAUAACGCAAGAGCUGCCGCCCGAGAGAAAGCCAAGAUGGAUCAACUUGAGUUAGACGCGGUUACUCCAUUGUAUGAAGGAUGCAGGCCCGAGGAUACCCGCCUGAAAGUAACGCUCAUGGCCCUAGAGAUGAAGGUAAAACACAAAAUGACCGACGCAAGCUUCGACGAGAACAUGUCAUUCUGGCACGAACGUCUUCCCAAGGGGAACAAGUGCCCGACCAGUUUGGAGGAGGCGAAGAAAAUCGUGUGUCCUCUGGAUUUACCGCACGUGAAAUACCAUGUGUGCAUGAACAAUUGCAUCAUUUAUCGGGACGAGCACGCGGAGUCUACAAUAUGUCCGGUGUGCGGUGUCACUCGAUACAAGAAGAGGAAGAAAGCUCCUCGAAAAGUGGUGUGGUACUUUCCGAUCACUCCUCGUCUACAGCGGUAUUUCGCGGAUCCUAAGGUAGCAAAGCUCCUACGUUGGCACGCGGAUAGGGAG
This 984-nucleotide ribosomal RNA is filed under the name Triticum aestivum (bread wheat). RNAcentral's name for it is "partial small subunit ribosomal RNA". Lineage: Eukaryota; Viridiplantae; Streptophyta; Magnoliopsida; Poales; Poaceae. The record is from RNAcentral.